Molecule: ribosomal RNA, 253 nt
Filed under: uncultured bacterium
Lineage: Bacteria
Description: partial 16S ribosomal RNA
Rfam family: Bacterial small subunit ribosomal RNA
Source: RNAcentral
UACGGGGGGAGCAAGCGUUGUUCGGAUUUACUGGGCGUAAAGGGCGCGUAGGCGGCGCAACAAGUCACUUGUGAAAUCUCCGGGCUUAACCCGGAGCGGCCAAGUGAUACUGCUCGGCUAGAGUGCGGAAGGGGCAACUGGAAUUCUUGGUGUAGCGGUGAAAUGCGUAGAUAUCAAGAGGAACACCUGCGGCGAAGGCGGGUUGCUGGGCCGACACUGACGCUGAGGCGCGAAAGCUAGGGGAGCGAACGGG